GCCGCCCACAUGAGACGCCUUCGAGCGGAACGCUCUGAGUACCGGGCUCGGGAAGCGCGAGCUAAGCGCGAACGUCGGCUGAACGACCCCGGUCUGCGAGUCGUGGAGAGUUACCUGCGUCAGGUCAGGAGGUGUGAAGCGAACGGUCGGCGCAAAUCGCCGAGCAGUGACAGUGGCCACGGCUGCCACGUUUGCGGCCGAUUGGGGUCCGACGCCAACCUGUCGACCUUGAGCUCUGCACUCGACCGCGGCAAGCGUCGAAAUGCCGCGCAACUUCCGCGUGAAUCCUUUCCAGCCCUUCUCGUGGGCCUCACUGGAACGAACUUCUGCGAGACUUGCCGCGAAUCGCUACUCCAAGAUGCAGACAGAAGUGACGACAACAAUAGAACUUGUGCACAAGAGCAUGAAGUGAGGAGGUCAUUUGUGGGAUGGACACAUUUAACACGGAUUUGCCAUCUGAAUCCUGUUCUGCAUCAAUGAACAGCGAGAUUGCGCUUUUGGUGCCAAAGCGCGAGCCUGAAGAAAUCGAUUGCGCGGUUGAUUGCUUGGACGGCCAUCUCCCGACCCGUGCUGAUGCAAGUGACGGUAAUGUAGGACCCUGCUUUACCAAGAGGAAAAUGGAGGAGCUUGGUUAUUAAAACCGAAGGCUCUAAUGGCCCUUCCCCGCUUGACCU
Molecule: unclassified non-coding RNA, 674 nt
Organism: Rhipicephalus microplus (southern cattle tick)
Lineage: Eukaryota; Metazoa; Arthropoda; Arachnida; Ixodida; Ixodidae
Source: RefSeq, a predicted model, not a curated record